GGCAGCGCAUGCUUUUAUUAGAGGGUCUUCCUAGUGGCCCUUUAAGCUAGCGCGCGCUGCCCAGAGAAACUUCAACACGAAGCAGACGUUCAGACAUAGUCGAAGCGAUCAUAAUCCACGCUCGAUUAUAUCACUCAACGUCUGACA
Molecule: small nucleolar RNA, 147 nt
Filed under: Drosophila virilis
Lineage: Eukaryota; Metazoa; Arthropoda; Insecta; Diptera; Drosophilidae
Description: snoRNA:GJ25494
Source: RNAcentral